CAAGGAACAGGGAGGGCGAUCAGUGGGUGCAGCUGCGAAGCAAGCACCAUCCGAGGCCUUGGAAGGAAGACGCGCUCUGAGGGACAGGGCAGCUUGGACCGUCCUGAGAAAGGAACGCUCACAUCUCUGGGUGUUCACGGAAAGAAAGCACAGAGGCCAACCCCCAGGUUUCGUCUUGGGGCUGUGCUUAGAGGAGUGCACUGAGGAGGCUAUGACCAGCGACGGGGAACCCUCUUCAGAGUCGUUCAGGGCAGUGUUCACGACUCGCGAGAAUGAAAAGCUUCCCCAGCGUUAGGACUCCUGCACAGCGACCCACGGCUGUGGAUAAAGAGGUACAGACUCCACCAACGUUCAUUAAACCCCCCCACCCCCGCUGGCGAAAAGCACAGAAGACAUGCCAUUUUCUGUACGAGGCAUAUUGAGAAUCAAAUACUAAAAAGCUUAAAACCUCA
Myotis brandtii (Brandt's bat) is the source of this 452-nucleotide long non-coding RNA. RefSeq lists it as uncharacterized. The transcript has 2 exons. The record is from RefSeq and is a predicted model, not a curated record. NCBI's taxonomy places the organism in Eukaryota, Metazoa, Chordata, Mammalia, Chiroptera, Vespertilionidae.